Non-coding RNA from Xylariaceae sp. FL1272, 102 nucleotides. Lineage: Eukaryota; Fungi; Ascomycota; Sordariomycetes; Xylariales; Xylariaceae. The record is from the annotation of a GenBank genome assembly.
UGUCGGUUAGCUCAGUUGGUAGAGCAUCGCAAUUACACCUAUUUCCAAGGUCUGGAAUAAGAAAAACUGCGAAGGCCAUAGGUUCAAGCCCUAUACUGACCA